RNAcentral lists this ribosomal RNA (464 nucleotides) under uncultured bacterium. RNAcentral's name for it is "bacterial SSU rRNA". It matches the Rfam family "Bacterial small subunit ribosomal RNA", at positions 339 to 796 of the family's 1533-position model. The record is from RNAcentral.
CUACGGGAGGCAGCAGUCGAGAAUUUUUCACAAUGGGCGAAAGCCUGAUGGAGCGACGCCGCGUGGGGGAUGAAUGGCUUCGGCCCGUAAACCCCUGUCAUUUGCGAUCAACCGUUAUUAUUUAAAAGAUGAUGACCUGAUAGUAGCGAAAGAGGAAGGGACGGCUAACUCUGUGCCAGCAGCCGCGGUAAUACAGAGGUCCCAAGCGUUGUUCGGAUUCACUGGGCGUAAAGGGUGCGUAGGUGGCGGGGUAAGUCGGAUGUGAAAUCUCGGAGCUCAACUCCGAAACUGCAUUGGAAACUACCUUGCUUGAGGGUUGGAGGGGGGACUGGAAUACUUGGUGUAGCAGUGAAAUGCGUAGAUAUCAAGUGGAACACCAGUGGCGAAGGCGAGUCCCUGGACAACUCCUGACACUGAGGCACGAAAGCUAGGGGAGCAAACAAGAUUAGAUACCCCUGUAGUCC